This 498-nucleotide ribosomal RNA is filed under the name uncultured bacterium. RNAcentral's name for it is "partial 16S ribosomal RNA". It matches the Rfam family "Bacterial small subunit ribosomal RNA", at positions 30 to 523 of the family's 1533-position model. The record is from RNAcentral.
AUUGAACGCUGGCGGCAUGCCUUACACAUGCAAGUCGAACGGUAACAGGUCUUCGGAUGCUGACGAGUGGCGAACGGGUGAGUAAUACAUCGGAACGUGCCUAGUAGUGGGGGAUAACUACUCGAAAGAGUGGCUAAUACCGCAUGAGAUCUACGGAUGAAAGCAGGGGAUCGCAAGACCUUGUGCUACUAGAGCGGCCGAUUGCAGAUUAGGUAGUUGGUGGGAUAAAAGCUUACCAAGCCGACGAUCUGUAGCUGGUCUGAGAGGGCGAUCAGCCACACUGGGACUGAGACACGGCACAGACUCCUACGGGAGGCAGCAGUGGGGAAUUUUGGACAAUGGGCGAAAGCCUGAUCCAGCAAUGCCGCGUGCAGGAUGAAGGCCUUCGGGUUGUAAACUGCUUUUGUACGGAACGAAAAGCCCCGGGUUAAUACCCUGGGGUCAUGACGGUACCGUAAGAAUAAGCACCGGCUAACUACGUGCCAGCCGCCGCAGUAA